AUUUACUUUUAUUAUGUUGGUGUAUAUCUGGUUUAAUAUUAUUGUUUAAUAAUAUAAUUUGUGAAGGUGAUUAGUUAAGCCAAGUCUAUGUGCUGCUUAUAAAAGUAAUCAUGCGUUACAUUUAUAAAUAUAUAAUUGUAAGAUUAUGUAAUUUAGGACUUAAUAGUAAUGUUUAAUAAAUUUGUAGAUGUGAAAAAAGUUUAGCUCAUGUACACACCGC
This 220-nucleotide ribosomal RNA is filed under the name Taenia pisiformis. Its description in RNAcentral is "partial 12S ribosomal RNA". The record is from RNAcentral. Lineage: Eukaryota; Metazoa; Platyhelminthes; Cestoda; Cyclophyllidea; Taeniidae.